RNAcentral lists this ribosomal RNA (217 nucleotides) under uncultured bacterium. RNAcentral describes it as "partial 16S ribosomal RNA". It matches the Rfam family "Bacterial small subunit ribosomal RNA", at positions 1287 to 1500 of the family's 1533-position model. The record is from RNAcentral.
CUCAGUUCGGAUCGGAGUCUGCAACCCGACUCCGUGAAGCUGGAUUCGCUAGUAAUCGCGCAUCAGCCAUGCCGCGGUGAAUACGUUCCCGGGUCUUGUACACACCGCCCGUCACACCAUGGGAGUCGGAAAUGCCCGAAGCCGGUGACUCAACCUUUAAGGAGAGAGCCGUCGAAGGCAGGUCUGAUAACUGGGGGUGAAGUCGUAACAAGGUAUC